Molecule: ribosomal RNA, 497 nt
Filed under: uncultured bacterium
Lineage: Bacteria
Description: partial 16S ribosomal RNA
Rfam family: Bacterial small subunit ribosomal RNA
Source: RNAcentral
GAUGAACGCUGGCGGCGUGCCUAAUACAUGCAAGUCGAGCGAACGGACGAGAAGCUUGCUCCUCUGAUGUUAGCGGCGGACGGGUGAGUAACACGUGGAUAACCUACCUAUAAGACUGGGAUAACUUCGGGAAACCGGAGCUAAUACCGGAUAAUAUUUUUAACCGCAUGGUUCAAAAGUGAAAGAUGGUCUUGCUUUCACUAAUAGAUGGAUCCGCGCUGCAUUAGCUAGUUGGUAAGGUAACGGCUUACCAAGGCAACGAUGAAUAGCCGACCUGGAAGGGGGAUCGGCCACACGGGAACUGGGACACGGUCAAGACUCCUACGGGAGGCAGCAGUAGGGAAUCUUCCGCAAUGGGCGAAGGCCUGACGGAGCAACGCCGCGUGAGUGAUGAAGGUCUUCGGAUCGUAAAACUCUGUUAUUAGGGAAGAACAUAUGUGUAAGUAACUGUGCACAACGUGACGGUACCUAAUCAGAAAGCCACGGCUAACUACGUG